Long non-coding RNA from Gavialis gangeticus (Gharial), 142 nucleotides. RefSeq lists it as uncharacterized. The record is from RefSeq and is a predicted model, not a curated record. NCBI's taxonomy places the organism in Eukaryota, Metazoa, Chordata, Crocodylia, Gavialidae. The transcript has 3 exons.
GCUAAUUGAAUGUAUGUGAGUAUGAAUUAAGAAAUAUGAGCCACUGAUCAGGUCUGAGACUAAGGUUGGGUUCAGCCACCCCAAGGCUGUCAGAAAGGGCAGUUUUGAAUGCAAGGGGGCCCAACUGGAACCUCAAGACCCA